GACGAACGCUGGCGGCGUGCCUAAUACAUGCAAGUCGAACGCUUCUUUCCUCCCGAGUGCUUGCACUCAAUUGGAAAGAGGAGUGGCGGACGGGUGAGUAACACGUGGGUAACCUACCCAUCAGAGGGGGAUAACACUUGGAAACAGGUGCUAAUACCGCAUAACAGUUUAUGCCGCAUGGCAUAAGAGUGAAAGGCGCUUUCGGGUGUCGCUGAUGGAUGGACCCGCGGUGCAUUAGCUAGUUGGUGAGGUAACGGCUCACCAAGGCCACGAUGCAUAGCCGACCUGAGAGGGUGGUCGGCCACACUGGGACUGAGACACGGCCCAGACUCCUACGGGAGGCAGCAGUAGGGAAUCUUCGGCAAUGGACGAAAGUCUGACCGAGCAACGCCGCGUGAGUGAAGAAGGUUUUCGGAUCGUAAAACUCUGUUGUUAGAGAAGAACAAGGACGUUAGUAACUGAACGUCCCCUGACGGUAUCUAACCAGAAAGCCACGGCUAACUACGU
RNAcentral lists this ribosomal RNA (507 nucleotides) under uncultured bacterium. RNAcentral's name for it is "partial 16S ribosomal RNA". It matches the Rfam family "Bacterial small subunit ribosomal RNA", at positions 28 to 506 of the family's 1533-position model. The record is from RNAcentral.